This 466-nucleotide ribosomal RNA is filed under the name uncultured bacterium. RNAcentral's name for it is "bacterial SSU rRNA". It matches the Rfam family "Bacterial small subunit ribosomal RNA", at positions 330 to 794 of the family's 1533-position model. The record is from RNAcentral.
UCCAGACUCCUACGGGAGGCAGCAGUGAGGAAUAUUGGUCAAUGGGCGAGAGCCUGAACCAGCCAAGUCGCGUGAGGGAAGACGGUCCUAUGGAUUGUAAACCUCUUUUGCCGGGGAGCAAAAAGCGGUACGUGUACCGCAUCGAGAGUACCCGGAGAAAAAGCAUCGGCUAACUCCGUGCCAGCAGCCGCGGUAAUACGGAGGAUGCGAGCGUUAUCCGGAUUUAUUGGGUUUAAAGGGUGCGCAGGCGGAGAGUUAAGUCAGCGGUAAAAUUUGGGGGCUCAACCCCGACAAGCCGUUGAAACUGGCUUGCUAGAGUGGGCGAGAAGUAUGCGGAAUGCGUGGUGUAGCGGUGAAAUGCAUAGAUAUCACGCAGAACUCCGAUUGCGAAGGCAGCAUGCCGGCUCCACACUGACGCUGAGGCACGAAAGCGUGGGUAUCGAACAGGAUUAGAUACCCCCGUAGA